This 35-nucleotide non-coding RNA is filed under the name unclassified sequences. RNAcentral describes it as "S16-Flavobacteria ribosomal protein leader". It matches the Rfam family "S16-Flavobacteria ribosomal protein leader". The record is from RNAcentral. RNAcentral also lists the same sequence under 2 other names.
AUUAAUAAUCGAGGUCGAGAACCUCAAAAUUUAAU